Molecule: small nucleolar RNA, 73 nt
Organism: Impatiens glandulifera
Lineage: Eukaryota; Viridiplantae; Streptophyta; Magnoliopsida; Ericales; Balsaminaceae
Source: RefSeq, a predicted model, not a curated record
AUGCCUGUGAGGAUUAAAAAUUGGAAUUACCGGCUGAUUUAUUUUGAUGUCAUAUGGCUAUCUGAGGCUUACA